RNAcentral lists this transfer RNA (87 nucleotides) under Paracoccaceae bacterium. Its description in RNAcentral is "Rhodobacteraceae bacterium tRNA-Leu". It matches the Rfam family "tRNA". Rfam says of the family: Transfer RNA (tRNA) molecules are approximately 80 nucleotides in length. Their secondary structure includes four short double-helical elements and three loops (D, anti-codon, and T loops). RNAcentral also lists the same sequence under 2 other names. Lineage: Bacteria; Pseudomonadati; Pseudomonadota; Alphaproteobacteria; Rhodobacterales; Paracoccaceae. The record is from RNAcentral.
GCGGUCGUGGCGGAACUGGUAGACGCGCAGCGUUGAGGUCGCUGUGGGGUAACUCCCGUGGAGGUUCGAGUCCUCUCGACCGCACCA